This 76-nucleotide transfer RNA is filed under the name Pseudomonas fluorescens. Its description in RNAcentral is "tRNA-Ala". It matches the Rfam family "tRNA". Rfam says of the family: Transfer RNA (tRNA) molecules are approximately 80 nucleotides in length. Their secondary structure includes four short double-helical elements and three loops (D, anti-codon, and T loops). Further hydrogen bonds mediate the characteristic L-shaped molecular structure. tRNAs have two regions of fundamental functional importance: the anti-codon, which is responsible for specific mRNA codon recognition, and the 3' end, to which the tRNAs corresponding amino acid is attached (by aminoacyl-tRNA synthetases). tRNAs cope with the degeneracy of the genetic code in two manners: having more than one tRNA (with a specific anti-codon) for a particular amino acid; and 'wobble' base-pairing, i.e. permitting non-standard base-pairing at the 3rd anti-codon position. RNAcentral also lists the same sequence under 1 other name. The record is from RNAcentral. Lineage: Bacteria; Pseudomonadati; Pseudomonadota; Gammaproteobacteria; Pseudomonadales; Pseudomonadaceae.
GGGCCCAUAGCUCAGUUGGUAGAGCGCUUGCAUGGCAUGCAAGAGGUCAGCGGUUCGAAUCCGCUUGGGUCCACCA